This 998-nucleotide ribosomal RNA is filed under the name uncultured cyanobacterium. RNAcentral describes it as "bacterial SSU rRNA". It matches the Rfam family "Bacterial small subunit ribosomal RNA", at positions 508 to 1504 of the family's 1533-position model. Lineage: Bacteria; Bacillati; Cyanobacteriota. The record is from RNAcentral.
CCAGCAGCCGCGGUAAUACGGGAGUGGCAAGCGUUAUCCGGAAUUAUUGGGCGUAAAGCGUCCGCAGGCGGUCUGUCAAGUCUGCUGUUAAAGCGUGGAGCUUAACUCCAUUUCGGCAGUGGAAACUGACAGACUAGAGUGUGGUAGGGGCAGAGGGAAUUCCCGGUGUAGCGGUGAAAUGCGUAGAUAUCGGGAAGAACACCAGUGGCGAAGGCGCUCGGCUGGGCCAUAACUGACGCUCAUGGACGAAAGCCAGGGGAGCGAAAGGGAUUAGAUACCCCUGUAGUCCUGGCCGUAAACGAUGAACACUAGGUGUCGGGGGAAUCGACCCCCUCGGUGUCGUAGCCAACGCGUUAAGUGUUCCGCCUGGGGAGUACGCACGCAAGUGUGAAGCUCAAAGGAAUUGACGGGGGCCCGCACAAGCGGUGGAGUAUGUGGUUUAAUUCGAUGCAACGCGAAGAACCUUACCAGGGUUUGACAUCCUGCGAAUCUCUUGGAAACGAGAGAGUGCCUUCGGGAACGCAGUGACAGGUGGUGCAUGGCUGUCGUCAGCUCGUGUCGUGAGAUGUUGGGUUAAGUCCCGCAACGAGCGCAACCCACGUCCGUUAGUUGCCAGCAUUUAGUUGGGCACUCUAGCGAGACCGCCGGUGAUAAACCGGAGGAAGGUGUGGAUGACGUCAAGUCAUCAUGCCCCUUACAUCCUGGGCUACACACGUACUACAAUGCUACGGACAAAGGGCAGCAAACUCGCGAGAGCUAGCAAAUCCCAUAAACCGUGGCUCAGUUCAGAUCGUAGGCUGCAACUCGCCUACGUGAAGGAGGAAUCGCUAGUAAUCGCAGGUCAGCAUACUGCGGUGAAUACGUUCCCGGGCCUUGUACACACCGCCCGUCACACCAUGGAAGUUGGCCACGCCCGAAGCCGUUACUCCAACCCUUGUGGAGGAGGACGUCGAAGGUGGGGCUGAUGACUGGGGUGAAGUCGUAACAAGGUAGCCGAU